Molecule: long non-coding RNA, 1018 nt
Organism: Gossypium arboreum
Lineage: Eukaryota; Viridiplantae; Streptophyta; Magnoliopsida; Malvales; Malvaceae
Exons: 2
Source: RefSeq, a predicted model, not a curated record
UUAUUCUAUUUUUUCUUAAAAAUGCCGCAAAAAAUAAUAUCUUUCAUGUUGUUUUUACGAACGUCACAAAAAAAAUCACAAAGAUUAAAUAUCUUGUAGUGUCCUCAAGUGAGGAUAAGUAAAGUGAAAAGUCAUCCAUAAAUAUCUCUCAAGCAUCUCACGGUGCCACAUGCCCGUUGUCCCAGUGGAAAUGUGAAUUAUAUAGUGGUCUGGUUUGAGACCAUUUGUAGGAGUGGUAUGGCGGUGGAUGGCCCAAGAGGUUACCUCACAACUUCUGGAAUACUCGCCUUUAAUGUAAAGCUGAGACCACUAUGCAUGGGGAGUCGGGUAAUGAUGAAUUGCAAAAGAGACACGUGUCGGAGUGUCAUUGGCUGCCAAGCUUUGGGGUGCACAGGGAAACACCCCUUUUUUCUACAUAAUCUACUCUUACUUUGAACCACAUCAACGUCGAAGGUCGGAAGAAGCGGUAAAUUUGUCGCUGGACUCUCGGAGAAGGCGGUCGGAGAUCAAGGAGUUGAGAGAGGGAACAACAAGCCUAUGGUUAGUGUCUCAUAUGAGUGCGCUACAAUUGAUAUGGAGAUGAGGAGGCUGCUAAGGUGCCGAGGGCUCCUCACUUAGCAUUACAAAGACAGAGCUUAACAUUCCGAAAGGGACUCACCCAGGCCUCGAUAUGGUGGAAGUAGGCUGGGGUUCUACCUCCCAUUGUAUGCGUUGGAAGCCGGGUUCCAUCUUCCUCUUGAUGCCUUCAUGUGCGAGUUGCUUAACGCCUAUGGUGUAGCACCUGGGCAACUAUCCUAGUGAGUAGGAUAUUUAUCUUAUGUUGCAAACAGAACAUGUGGCCUGAGGUGGGAGUAUUCCAAUAUAUGUUUUUAUUUGGAGUGGAUUGAUCCGGAGUAACUGGGUCUUCUGCAAAUUAACCGAUUUACUCAAGUUUAAUAUUUGGUUGUUGAUUAAGCUUAAUCUUAUUAAUUUUUUAUUAAUUAAUUUAUUUUGGUUUGAUUCGCUUAACUAUUAAUAA